This 158-nucleotide ribosomal RNA is filed under the name Botryosphaeria dothidea. Its description in RNAcentral is "5.8S ribosomal RNA". Lineage: Eukaryota; Fungi; Ascomycota; Dothideomycetes; Botryosphaeriales; Botryosphaeriaceae. The record is from RNAcentral.
CAACCCUCAAGCUCUGCUUGGUAUUGGGCACCGUCCUUUGCGGGCGCGCCUCAAAGACCUCGGCGGUGGCGUCUUGCCUCAAGCGUAUAGAACAUACAUCUCGCUUCGGAGCGCAGGGCGUCGCCCGCCGGACGAACCUUCUGAACUUUUCUCAAGGU